This 3856-nucleotide long non-coding RNA is filed under the name Capsella rubella. RNAcentral's name for it is "long non-coding RNA (CRUB_LNC001821)". The record is from RNAcentral. Lineage: Eukaryota; Viridiplantae; Streptophyta; Magnoliopsida; Brassicales; Brassicaceae.
GAGAGACGACCCUUGUCAUUGGUGAUGGUGAUCUUGUUCUUCUGUCCGGUGGUCUUGUCCUCAGCAGAAACGUUGAGGAUACCGUUGGCAUCAAUGUCAAAGCAGACUGUGAUCUGAGGGACACCACGAGGAGCUGGAGGGAUUCCGGAGAGCUCAAACUUACCGAGAAGGUUGUUGUCCUUGGUUCUGGCUCUUUCACCUUCGUAGACUUGGAUCAACACGCCAGGCUGGUUGUCCGAGUAAGUGGAGAAGACCUGCUCCUUCUUGGUGGGGAUUGUUGUGUUUCUCUGAAUCAAAGUGGUCAUGACACCACCAGCAGUCUCAAGACCGAGGGAGAGAGGGGUGACAUCAAGCAAGAGAAGGUCUUGAACCUUUUCGUUUCCUUCACCGCUUAGAAUUGCAGCCUGAACAGCUGCACCGUAUGCAACAGCCUCAUCAGGGUUGAUAGACUUGCAGAGCUCCUUGCCAUUGAAGAAAUCUUGGAGAAGCUGUUGAACUUUGGGGAUACGGGUAGAACCACCGACAAGGACAACCUCAUGUACCGAGUUCUUGUCCAUCUUAGCAUCACGGAGACACUUCUCAACAGGCUCCAUACACUUCCUGAAAAGAUCCAUGUUAAGCUCUUCGAAUCUAGCACGGGUAAUUGGAGCAUAGAAGUCAAAUCCUCCUGCCAGAGAGUCAAUCUCGAUGGUCGUUUGUGCGGUGGAAGAAAGAGUUCUCUUUGCUCUCUCGCAAGCUGUUCUCAUCCUCCUUAGAGCUCUAGCGUUACCGGUGAUGUCCUGCUUGUUCUUCCUCUUAAACUCUUGAACAAAGUGGUUAACCAUCCUGUUAUCGAAAUCCUCACCACCAAGAUGAGUAUCUCCAGCAGUAGCCUUGACCUCGAAGAUACCUUCUUCAAUAGUAAGAAGAGAAACAUCAAAAGUACCACCACCAAGAUCAAAGAUCAACACGUUCUUCUCUCCAACGCUGGUUGCCUUCUUGUCGAGACCGUAGGCAAUAGCAGCAGCGGUCGGCUCGUUGAUGAUACGCAGAACAUUCAAACCAGCGAUGACACCAGCAUCCUUUGUAGCUUGACGCUGAGAGUCAUUGAAGUAAGCAGGGACAGUGACCACAGCGUUCUUGAUAGUGGUGCCAAGGUAAGCUUCACUAAUCUCACGCAUCUUAAUGAGAACCAUGGAAGAGAUUUCCUCAGCGGCGAAUCGUUUCUCUUCUCCCUUGUAGGUGACUACAAUCAAUGGCUUGUCAGCAGUUCCAGAAGAGACGAGACCGAAAGGCCAUAACCUCAAGUCGCUUUGGACAGUUGCGUCAUUGUAUCUACGACCAAUCAACCUCUUUGCAUCUGUCACAAUUAGACAAAUAGAACAAAACAAAAUCAAUAAACCGAAACAUAAAACCAAAAAUCAAAAGUUGGACAUUACAAGACCAAAUCAUCAACUUAAACUUAGGUCAGAGAAGAUAAAAACCCUAACUUUAACAAAUUCACAGGAAUAGUUCAUAAUCAGCCUACGGGUAUUCGCAAAACAAGUAAGUAAAAAACGUUUGGGCGAGUAACAUUAUCCUAUGUAAACCCUAAAAAUUCGAACUUUAACAAAUUCACAGGAAUAGUUCAUAAUCAUCCUACGGGUAUUCGCAAAACAAGUAAGUAAAAAACGUUUGGGCGAGUAACAUUAUCCUAUGUAAACCCUAAAAAUUCGAACUUUAACUCAGAUACGAAACACACAUAGAAUCAAGACCAGAGUGUAAUAAGACGAGAGUUUACAUACCAAAGACAGUGUUGGCUGGGUUCGCGGCGACCUGGUUCUUAGCAGCCUCACCGAUCAGCCUCUCGGAGUCGGUGAAAGCAACGUACGAUGGAGUGGUACGGUUACCCUGAUCGUUAGCAAUGAUCUCGACACGGUCGUGUUGCCAUACUCCAACACAAGAGUAGGUGGUACCAAGAUCGAUACCGAUCGCAGGACCUUCACCUUUACCAGCCAUUGUUAUCGCAACAAAAGAGAGAGAACAAAAAAAAGCUUUUAGCUAAGAGACGAAAGAUUCUUUAAGAGCAGAGAAGGGAACUAGGUUUUUUGUUUUGUGAAGAAAAGAGCAUCGGAGCCUUGGAUUAUAUAAGCUCAAGACUUGUGUUUCCAGAAUGUUCGGGUGCUAUGUUAUUCAACGUUAGAUUAGGUUGGAUAUCGAUCCGACGGUCGUGAAGUGAUGGUUACCUUUUUACAAAUCUUAAGUCAGAUAUGUUCCGGGAAUGAAAAGGAAAAAAGUGAUACUGUCCAAAAACGGGAAAGCGCGUGUCUGAAAUUGGAAAACUACUAUAACGUUCAUAUGAAGAUCGGCUUAUCAGUCGCCACGUAAGAUCUUGUGGCAGAUUAACGGGCCUAUAAGAUAUUUUAUAGACGGGCCAUUGUCUUGUGGGCCGUGGUGAGACCUCUCUUUUUCUGAGAACUCAUAGAAAAUUUAUAUAUAUUUAAUAUGUCUUUUUGAAUUACCUCAAUAAUAAGAAGAAAAAAAAAAUCAUUUGAUAAAAAAAGUUAAAAAAAACAACUUUUAAAUUUAAUGACAACAAAUUACUUUCAUAAUAUUUAUAUUCUUUUUUAAUUCUUGUGAAUUACGAUAUUUAUACCAAAAUUUAAUUAAAACAAUAUUUAUUUUAGCAAAAGUAAUGUCAAAAUUUUAGUCCAAAUUAGAGGAAGUAUUUAUAUAUACAAGAUAGUUUUUACUGUGACACAAGACAUAACAACACAUGUUUCCAACUCUUAAAAAACAUUUCUUAACAAAAUCUUACAAAGCCACCAAUAAACAUGCUCUUAGAUUUGCUCAUCCAACUUCAGAUUUCAUGAUAGUUUUAAUGGAAUUCAGAUCUGAAACUGUUGGAUAAAAUUGCAACUACACUAUUUUCAUGAACUUUGAAUUUCUAACGUUUAUGUAUUUGUACAAUAGUAAUCAUGAAACAUUUCAUAUAUUUCGUUCAUUUAUAAGUAUUCGUAGCUGCUCUUUGUUUACCUCAAUCCAAAAGUAAUUUUCUUCACUCGUUAAUAAAAUUUCCUUGUUUGAGUACCCGACUUUCUCAUAUCCAAAAGGAGGAGAAAGAAAAAAAGGUCACUCUACUACCAGAGGAAUCUUAAAUAGGACAAAAAACCAUGAAUAUAAAGUUGGAAAGUCAUACGGAGUAGAGAAUAUAGAAAACUUCUGAUAUUAUCCGUCAUCGUAGCUGGAAUAACCAGGCAUUGUUCAAAAAAGCUAACCAAAUAAAACACAAAAUGGGCUCCUUCAAAUAAGCCCGAGAUUAAAAAAAAGUCUUAAACGAUCCAAAGUAAAGAUAGAGAGAUAAAGAGAGAGAGGUCAUGAUCCAACAGAUUAGUCGACCUCCUCGAUCUUAGGUCCAGCACCGCCUGAAGCAGGAGGAGCAUCAUCGUCCAUUCCACCAGCACCUGGUCCACCGGCCUCACCACCAGCUCCUUGGUACAUCUUGGCGAUGAUUGGGUUGCAGAUGCUCUCCAACUCCUUCAUCUUGUCUUCAAACUCAUCUGCCUCGGCCAACUGGUUACCCUCGAGCCACUGAAUCGCCUGCUCAAUAGAGUCCUCGAUCUUCUUCUUGUCUGCUGCGGGAAGCUUCUCACCAAUCUUCUCGUCCUGGAUGGUGUUCCUCAUGUUGUAAGCGUAGUUCUCAAGAGCGUUCUUGGCUUCAACCUUCUUCUUGUGCUCCUCAUCCUCAGACUUGUACUUCUCUGCCUCUUGAACCAUCUUCUCAAUCUCAUCCUUGGAGAGACGACCCUUGUCAUUGGUGAUGGUAAUCUUGUUCUUCUGUCCGGUGGUCUUGUCCUCAGCAGAAACGUUGAGGAUACCAUUGGCGUCAAUGUCAAAG